UAGAUACCCCACUAUANUGAGCAUAAAUCUCACUCUGUAGCAGUAAAGUUAAUGUAAACUAAAACUUAAAGAGCAUGGCGGCGGCUCAAAAUUUCGGGGGAACUUACCCAAUAAUUGAUAAUCCUCAAGAGAUGCUACGUGCCCUUUCGUUUGUAUACCGCCGUCUGCAGGUGUCAUUUAAAAUAGCACCUAACGGAAGAGAAGACAGGCCAUGGCACAGCUUAUGGGCACGCUAGGGCGAGUUACAAUUAAACUUUUUUAUCGGAUGCAGGGGUUAAAAAUUCUGCUAAAGCAGGACUUGAAAGUAAUACUUAAAAAAGUAAAACUUGAAUUUUUUUUGUGCCGUGCACACNCCGCCC
RNAcentral lists this ribosomal RNA (359 nucleotides) under Leucophytia bidentata (two-toothed white snail). Its description in RNAcentral is "Auriculinella bidentata (two-toothed white snail) partial 12S ribosomal RNA". The record is from RNAcentral. Lineage: Eukaryota; Metazoa; Mollusca; Gastropoda; Ellobiida; Ellobiidae.